UUUCUCCUGCCAGAUGCCGGUGCAGCUGACAACAGCCUUGCGUGUGGUGGGCACCAGCCUGUUUGCCCUGGCAGUGCUGGGUGGCAUCCUGGCAGCCUAUGUGACAGGCUACCAGUUCAUCCACACAGAAAAGCACUACCUGUCCUUUGGCCUGUACGGCGCCAUCCUGGGCCUGCACCUGCUCAUCCAGAGCCUGUUUGCCUUCCUGGAGCACAGGCGCAUGCGGCGGGCCAGCCGGCCACUGAAGCUGCUUUCUCCCCGGCGGGGCUCGGUGGCACUGUGCAUUGCCGCAUACCAGGAGGACCCUGACUACUUGCGCAAGUGCCUGCGUUCUGCCCAGCGCAUCUCCUUCCCUGACCUCAAGGUGGUCAUGGUGGUGGAUGGCAAUCGCCAGGAGGACGCCUACAUGCUGGACAUCUUCCACGAAGUGCUAGGUGGCACGGAGCAAGCUGGCUUUUUUGUGUGGCGCAGCAACUUCCAUGAGGCUGGAGAGGGUGAGACAGAGGCCAGCCUACAGGAGGGCAUGGACCGCGUACGGAACGUAGUACAUGCCAGCACCUUCUCAUGCAUCAUGCAGAAGUGGGGAGGCAAGUGCGAAGUCAUGUACACAGCCUUCAAGGCCCUUGGUGAUUCGGUGGACUACAUCCAG
RNA transcript from Otolemur garnettii (small-eared galago), 649 nucleotides. It is a transcript of the gene named hyaluronan synthase 3 pseudogene, with no coding region annotated. The transcript has a single exon. NCBI's taxonomy places the organism in Eukaryota, Metazoa, Chordata, Mammalia, Primates, Galagidae. The record is from RefSeq and is a predicted model, not a curated record.